UGCUUAUUCCCAGGUGAGAGCAACCCAUGAUAUUUUCUUGGUCUGGGAGCCUCCUUAAGUCCUAGACGUUUGCCACUAGCAAUGACAACACUGUGGCAUAAAUACAGAGGGGAGAUAAAAAGGUGAAUGAGAUGAACACCAGUUCCAAACUACCUGCAUUACUAACAGGCUUAUGUUUUACCAUCACAACUAAUCCAGGCAUUAUCGAAAGGCUUUCAUCACAUCUGGGAGAAGAGCUAUAUCUACUGCAGAGAAAAACAACAGUGAAGACAUUUACAUUGCUCAGGAAGCCACAAUGAAAAUAACAGUUCCGAGAUUGAGUUCUUGAAGUAGAAAUCAAACACCAGAUUACUUAACUGAAAUACAUCAUCUUCAAGCAAUGAGAGAGCCCUCACUCACAGCACAACGAGACUGCAUGCCUGAGGAGCGACUUUUGGUUUGCCAUAGCACAUCACAGAGCAAAAAACUCUGGUAUGCAACUUUGAUUUUGGGAAGUUGGCUUCUGAAGCCAUUUAAGCUUCACCCAUGAAUGCCAGAGAAGCAUCAACUCCUCUCCUUGGCUUACACUCCUCUUUCACAUUGAUUGCAUGUUUAAAAUUCUGAGUGAUAUUUUAGCACAACAGAAGUACAAAUCUUAACUAUUCAAGUGAAUAAAUACUGCAUGUCAUUCAAUACCAUGCUUACAGACACUAUUUGCAAGUUUAAUGUAUUCUGCUUACUGCUUGUGGAACAGGGCACCAAAUGAUGCCUGCUUCACAUAUGCUAGAGCCGUGCUAGCCAGGGAGAAAUUAUUUAUGCAGUGCAUUGGGAUUUGCAAGGAGGGAGAACGAAAGAGUAUGUCUACAUCUGGGGUUGCUACAAGGCCAGAGGCAUUGGAAGAGAUUAGUGUUCUACAGAGGCACUCAGAAAAAGCAGCAACAAAUGGACAGUCUACAUUAACCAAGGCAACCAUUUCAGUGUCUCCAUAACAAGGAAUUACCAUCUUUCCUACCUGACUGUUCAGAAGAAUGACAAGAAGGAAAUUGGUGGUUUCUUUCCUCCAUCCUGGACAAGAUACUUUGGCACCACUGAGUAGUGUUAGGAAGAAGGAUGAAAGACAUAUUCUAGCCUCUCUCACUGAGUUUGCAAUGGAGAUCACAACUAUUGAUAAAUGUGUUGUCAAACUGGCAGUGUAAUGUUUGCUCAUUUGAGUUCAUUUGUCUCCAUAGAAUCCAUCAGGAAAAAUUAAUAUCCUGGCUGGCAAUAAGGUUUUUUCAGAGCCAAGUCUUCCAGCUUGCCUGCAGGGAAUUCAUUGCCUUUCAGUAUGAUUGAAGGCCUGUACAUCACUGCUUAUCUGCACCUCAUUAAAUUGGUACUGAAAGACUUCAGAGUGGCUUCCUUCCUAGUGAUACCGUGACAGUCAGAGCUUGGUGUUGCCAUGAAGAAAGGGCUACUGCAUGUCAAAAUCAGACAUCUGCUGCAGCUAGAGGUAGCUCUUACUGGAAGCCAUGAAGGCAGGUAAAUAAGCAUUUAAGUACCAACUUUCUAUACUAUUUCCCACUACUUAGUCACUAUCCUCCUCUAUCCCUUAAUAAUAGGAAACUGAUAACAUGCUACAUUUUUUUUUUCAGCCUGGUUUGCUUUUUUCCUUUCCUAGAUGAUUUCAAGAAAAAUUGGGCACAUAGCAAAUUAUCUCAUGUUCCAGUUAGCAUGGAAAUCUUCAUCUCCAAAGCCUCUGUCUUAGCACAGGCAGCUCAUGCCCUUUGCAUCAAGGCAAGUACCUAAAUACAUCUGAAGACCUUAUCUACCAAUUUACAGAUGAGGAGGGGAUGGAAAAAAAGACCAACUUUGGAACAUGACCAUGAGAAAGAUGCUUAUGUUUGCAGGUCAACACUUACAAAUGAAAGGAAAAAAGUCUCAUGGAGCGUGUACUGAGAGCAGUUCCCUGGUUAUUCUGUAUGCAGGUCCAAGCAUAAAAUAUUAUUUGUGAAGCUAAGAUAGCUAUGUCUUUUCUCACAGAACAACAGAAACUUGUGCAUCUUUAUGGAUUAUCAAAUGUCUGCUUUUCAUCUUCACCCUCCUCUGACUUUACCCUCCAGAAAACAGGUUGAAGCCACAUCUCUUCUUAAAUAACUGGCAACUCAUCAUUUACUAAUUGUUAGGAGGUGCUGCUGUUCAUAAUGCAUCACGUAUCACUGCUAAGGCUCUACAAGAAUAAACCAUCAAAGAUUUAG
Molecule: long non-coding RNA, 2213 nt
Organism: Gallus gallus (chicken)
Lineage: Eukaryota; Metazoa; Chordata; Aves; Galliformes; Phasianidae
Source: Ensembl